RNAcentral lists this transfer RNA (86 nucleotides) under Brachyspira aalborgi. RNAcentral's name for it is "tRNA-Ser". It matches the Rfam family "tRNA". From Rfam's summary of the family: Transfer RNA (tRNA) molecules are approximately 80 nucleotides in length. Their secondary structure includes four short double-helical elements and three loops (D, anti-codon, and T loops). Lineage: Bacteria; Pseudomonadati; Spirochaetota; Spirochaetia; Brachyspirales; Brachyspiraceae. The record is from RNAcentral. RNAcentral also lists the same sequence under 2 other names.
GGAGAGCUGCCCGAGAGGCCGAAGGGAACAGUUUGCUAAACUGUCGUAGGAAUUUCCUACCGAGGGUUCGAAUCCCUCGCUCUCCG